RNAcentral lists this ribosomal RNA (305 nucleotides) under uncultured bacterium. RNAcentral's name for it is "bacterial SSU rRNA". It matches the Rfam family "Bacterial small subunit ribosomal RNA", at positions 333 to 656 of the family's 1533-position model. The record is from RNAcentral.
GUUUCCCUACGGGAGCAGCAGUAAGGGAUAUUGGUCAAUGGGGGAAACCCUGAACCAGCAACGCCGCGUGAGGGAAGACGGUUUUCGGAUUGUAAACCUCUGUCCUCUGUGAAGAUGAUGACGGUAGCAGAGGAGGAAGCUCCGGCUAACUACGUGCCAGCAGCCGCGGUAAUACGUAGGGAGCGAGCGUUGUCCGGAUUUACUGGGUGUAAAGGGUGCGUAGGCGGCUUGGCAGGUCAGUAGUGAAAUCCAUGGGCUUAACCCAUGAACUGCUAUUGAAACUGUCGAGCUUGAGUGAAGUAGAG